GAUGAACGCUGGCGGCGUGCCUAAUACAUGCAAGUCGAGCGAACAGACGAGGAGCUUGCUCCUCUGAUGUUAGCGGCGGACGGGUGAGUAACACGUGGAUAACCUACCUAUAAGACUGGGAUAACUUCGGGAAACCGGAGCUAAUACCGGAUAAUAUUUUGAACCGCAUGGUUCAAUAGUGAAAGACGGUCUUGCUGUCACUUAUAGAUGGAUCCGCGCUGCAUUAGCUAGUUGGUAAGGUAACGGCUUACCAAGGCAACGAUGCGUAGCCGACCUGAGAGGGUGAUCGGCCACACUGGAACUGAGACACGGUCCAGACUCCUACGGGAGGCAGCAGUAGGGAAUCUUCCGCAAUGGGCGAAAGCCUGACGGAGCAACGCCGCGUGAGUGAUGAAGGUCUUCGGAUCGUAAAACUCUGUUAUUAGGGAAGAACAUAUGUGUAAGUAACUGUGCACAUCUUGACGGUACCUAAUCAGAAAGCCACGGCUAACUACGUG
Molecule: ribosomal RNA, 497 nt
Filed under: uncultured bacterium
Lineage: Bacteria
Description: partial 16S ribosomal RNA
Rfam family: Bacterial small subunit ribosomal RNA
Source: RNAcentral